Molecule: ribosomal RNA, 497 nt
Filed under: uncultured bacterium
Lineage: Bacteria
Description: partial 16S ribosomal RNA
Rfam family: Bacterial small subunit ribosomal RNA
Source: RNAcentral
GAUGAACGCUGGCGGCGUGCCUAAUACAUGCCAGUCGAGCGAAAAGACGAGGAGCUUGCUCCUCUGACGUUAGCGGCGGAAGGAUGAGUAACACAUGGAUAACCUACCUGUAAGACUGGGAUCAAUUCGGGAACCCGGAGCUAAUACCGGAUAAUAUAUUGAACCGCAUGGUUCAAUAGUGAAAGACGCCUUUCCUGUUUCUUAUAGAUGGAUCCGCGCCGCAUUAGCUAGUUGGUAAGGUAACGGCUUACCAAGGCAACGAUGCGUAGCCGACCUGAGAGGGUGAUCGGCCACACUGGAACUGAGACACGGUCCAGACUCCUACGGGAGGCAGCAGUAGGGAAUCUUCCGCAAUGGGCGAAAGCCUGACGGAGCAACGCCGCGUGAGUGAUGAAGGUCUUCGGAUCGUAAAACUCUGUUAUUAGGGAAGAACAAAUGUGUAAGUAACUAUGCACGUCUUGACGGUACCUAAUCAGAAAGCCACGGCUAACUACGUG